Long non-coding RNA from Mustela erminea (ermine), 503 nucleotides. RefSeq lists it as uncharacterized. The record is from RefSeq and is a predicted model, not a curated record. Lineage: Eukaryota; Metazoa; Chordata; Mammalia; Carnivora; Mustelidae. The transcript is spliced from 2 exons.
UCAAAAGCAUCAGCCAGAGCAGGGGAGAGCCAGGGGCGUGGUGAAGGUAUGGGCUUUAGGAGAGAAUGACUCUUCCUCACCCUCCGCCUCCCUUGUCUCCCAGCUCCUGAUCCCUCCCUAGGUGACAAGCCCAGGCAGAGAGGCCCUGAACUUGGACGUCCCACUCUGAUGAACUCCUGGACAAGACAGGGAGAACAUCUGUGUGCUGGACAGGGUUGAGCUGGAAGACUGUGUGUGAUUCCACAUCCCUGUUUCAAGAAAGGAAUUGUUUGGACAUUAGCCAGGUGCCCUGGUCCAGAAGCUCCAGGCCUGAAUUGGUGUCCAAUGGACCUGAGGGGUCAGAAUCAGGCCCAGGAAGAUGGGUUUCCCCGUCCCCUCGGCCCCGACCCAGCAGGGGAGGGAGAAGGCUGCUUCAUUAUGUUUAAUGGGAUUAUUGGGGAGGGGGGACAGUAGUCAUGGGGCAUUAGCUGCUAAUUGGGUCCAUAAUAAAGUUAAUAAAGCUC